Non-coding RNA from Ciona savignyi (Pacific transparent sea squirt), 98 nucleotides. Lineage: Eukaryota; Metazoa; Chordata; Ascidiacea; Phlebobranchia; Cionidae. The record is from Rfam.
UGGGGAUUUUUGAAUUUGGAGUAUGGUGGUGGAGCUUGCUCCACCCUGCUCACGGGUUGUCCUGGUAUUGCAGUACCUCCAGGUUGGGCUCACGUUUC